AUUGAACGCUGGCGGCAGGCUUAACACAUGCAAGUAGAGCGAGCGGCGGACGGGUGAGUAAUGUCUGGGAAACUGCCUGAUGGAGGGGGAUAACUACUGGCAACGGUAGCUAAUACCGCAUACCAUCAGAUGUGCCCAGAGGGGAUUAGCUAGUAGGUGGGGUAAUGGCUCACCUAGGCGACGAUCCCUAGCUGGUCUGAGAGGAUGACCAGCCACACUGGAACUAGGACACGUUCCAGACUCAUACGGAAGGCAGCGGUGGGGAAUAUUGCACAAUCGGCGAAAGCCUGCUGCAGCCAUGCCGCGUGUGUGAAGAAGGCCUUCGGGUUGUAAAGCACUUGCAGCGAGGAGGCGUUACUCGCAGAAGAAUCACCGGCUAACUCCGUGCCAGCAGCCGCGGUAAUUC
RNAcentral lists this ribosomal RNA (406 nucleotides) under uncultured bacterium. RNAcentral's name for it is "partial 16S ribosomal RNA". It matches the Rfam family "Bacterial small subunit ribosomal RNA", at positions 30 to 526 of the family's 1533-position model. The record is from RNAcentral.